UACAGAGGUCUCAAGCGUUGUUCGGAUUCAUUGGGCGUAAAGGGUGCGUAGGCGGCGCGGUAAGUCGGGUGUGAAAUUUCGAGGCUUAACUUCGAAACUGCAUUCGAUACUGCCGUGCUUGAGGACUGGAGAGGAGACUGGAAUUUACGGUGUAGCGGUGAAAUGCGUAGAUAUGUGGAGGAAUACCGAUGGCGAAGGCAGCCCCCUGGGAUAACACUGACGCUCAUGCACGAAAGCGUGGGGAGCAAACAGG
Molecule: ribosomal RNA, 253 nt
Filed under: uncultured bacterium
Lineage: Bacteria
Description: partial 16S ribosomal RNA
Rfam family: Bacterial small subunit ribosomal RNA
Source: RNAcentral